Oreochromis aureus is the source of this 611-nucleotide long non-coding RNA. NCBI's taxonomy places the organism in Eukaryota, Metazoa, Chordata, Actinopteri, Cichliformes, Cichlidae. The record is from Ensembl.
GGGAAGUGUGGUUUGUUUUCGUGGACGUGGGAGGUGGAUAUAAAGGGAGCAGAGAGCAGGUCAGAGCACAUCAGCCCUGCACAUUCAAACAGAAGAACAUCUGUCUGUGUCGGGAACCAUGAAGACUCUGCUGGCUCUCACAGUCCUGACGCUCACCUGCUUCCUGAAGCACAGCUCUGCCAACCCAGUCGCUAUAGACAUGGUGAUAAAAAAUGUUGAAUGCUGCGAGGCCGUCACUAAUAAAAUCCACAUACCAGUGGACAAGGUGACGAACGUGACAAUGACCAGCGGCUGCAAACUUAAAGCGAUCAUAGUCAGCACUGAGGCCAAAAAGAAAUUCUGCCUUGACCCUGAAUGGAAACACACGCAGAUGCAUGUGGCAGAAUUUAAGAAGAAAUCCCAGCAGUCAGGAGCCCUGAAAGUUUAACAUCAAUGAUUUUUACAGCUCGGUGUUCAUGUAUGUUUGAACUGUUACAGAACUUAAACCCAAUAUUUCUGAUGAUUUCAAAGAAAAGUUAAUUAUUUAAACCUUUCAUGUGUUGUUUUUUUAAACUGAGAUAAUACCAAGUAGUACACCUGAACCUUUCAGAAUAAAAGACUUUUGAACUUAA